This 313-nucleotide small nuclear RNA is filed under the name Peromyscus maniculatus bairdii (prairie deer mouse). RNAcentral describes it as "7SK RNA (ENSPEMG00000003136.2)". It matches the Rfam family "7SK RNA". From Rfam's summary of the family: 7SK was discovered as an abundant small nuclear RNA in the mid-70s but a possible function has only recently been suggested. Two independent studies have found that 7SK RNA binds the CDK9/cyclin T complex (known as elongation factor P-TEFb). Lineage: Eukaryota; Metazoa; Chordata; Mammalia; Rodentia; Cricetidae. The record is from RNAcentral.
GAACGUGAGGGUGGUUUGGCUGCCACAUCCGUCACCCCACCGAUCACCAGCGUUGAUCAGGCUGAUCUGGCUGGCUAGGCAAAUGUCCCCUUUCUCCCUCACCGCUUCAUGUGCGUCCCUCUGAAGCUCAGUCAAAAAGAAAAAAAAAAAAGAGAGGAGGAACUGGUCUUCAGUCAAGGGUAAGAGCAGCUGCGUUCCCCUGCUAGAGCCCCUAACAAGCUCUCAAACGUCAAAAAGAAACCAACCAAAACUUGAUCAGGUCUCCUAGGGUCAGCUUGUUCAUUUCUCAUAGCCCAGGAAGGAAUGGUUACUG